RNAcentral lists this ribosomal RNA (253 nucleotides) under uncultured bacterium. RNAcentral's name for it is "partial 16S ribosomal RNA". It matches the Rfam family "Bacterial small subunit ribosomal RNA", at positions 524 to 776 of the family's 1533-position model. The record is from RNAcentral.
UACGUAGGGGGCAAGCGUUGUCCGGAAUCAUUGGGCGUAAAGCGCGUGUAGGCGGCCCGAUAAGUCCGCUGUGAAAGUCGGGGGCUCAACCCUCGGAUGCCGGUGGAUACUGUCGGGCUUGAGUACGGAAGAGGCGAGUGGAAUUCCUGGUGUAGCGGUGAAAUGCGCAGAUAUCAGGAGGAACACCAAUUGCGAAGGCAGCUCGCUGGGACGUUACUGACGCUGAGACGCGAAAGCGUGGGGAGCAAACAGG